GACGAACGCUGGCGGCGUGCUUAACACAUGCAAGUCGAACGGAAAGGCCCUGCUUUUGUGGGGUGCUCGAGUGGCGAACGGGUGAGUAACACGUGAGUAACCUGCCUUUGACUUUGGGAUAACUUCAGGAAACUGGGGCUAAUACCGGAUAGGAGCUCCUGCUGCAUGGUGGGGGUUGGAAAGUUUCGGCGUUUGGGGAUGGACUCGCGGCUUAUCAGCUUGUUGGUGGGGUAGUGGCUUACCAAGGCUUUGACGGGUAGCCGGCCUGAGAGGGUGACCGGCCACAUUGGGACUGAGAUACGGCCCAGACUCCUACGGGAGGCAGCAGUGGGGAAUAUUGCACAAUGGGCGGGAGCCUGAUGCAGCAACGCCGCGUGCGGGAUGACGGCCUUCGGGUUGUAAACCGCUUUCGCCUGUGACGAAGCGUGAGUGACGGUAAUGGGUAAAGAAGCACCGGCUAACUACGUG
This 468-nucleotide ribosomal RNA is filed under the name uncultured bacterium. RNAcentral's name for it is "partial 16S ribosomal RNA". It matches the Rfam family "Bacterial small subunit ribosomal RNA", at positions 28 to 507 of the family's 1533-position model. The record is from RNAcentral.